GAUGAACGCUGGCGGCGUGCCUAAUACAUGCAAGUCGAGCGAACGGACGAGAAGCUUGCUUCUCUGAUGUUUGCGGCGGACGGGUGAGUAACACGUGGAUAACCUACCUAUAAGACUGGGAUAACUUCGGGAAACCGGAGCUAAUACCGGAUAAUAUUUUGAACCGCAUGGUUCAAAAGUGAAAGACGGUCUUGCUGUCACUUAUAGAUGGAUCCGCGCUGCAUUAGCUAGUUGGUAAGGUAACGGCUUACCAAGGCAACGAUGCAUAGCCGACCUGAGAGGGUGAUCGGCCACACUGGAACUGAGACACGGUCCAGACUCCUACGGGAGGCAGCAGUAGGGAAUCUUCCGCAAUGGGCGAAAGCCUGACGGAGCAACGCCGCGUGAGUGAUGAAGGUCUUCGGAUCGUAAAACUCUGUUAUUAGGGAAGAACAUAUGUGUAAGUAACUGUGCACAUCUUGACGGUACCUAAUCAGAAAGCCACGGCUAACUACGU
RNAcentral lists this ribosomal RNA (496 nucleotides) under uncultured bacterium. Its description in RNAcentral is "partial 16S ribosomal RNA". It matches the Rfam family "Bacterial small subunit ribosomal RNA", at positions 28 to 506 of the family's 1533-position model. The record is from RNAcentral.